This 251-nucleotide ribosomal RNA is filed under the name uncultured prokaryote. RNAcentral describes it as "partial 16S rRNA". It matches the Rfam family "Bacterial small subunit ribosomal RNA", at positions 525 to 775 of the family's 1533-position model. The record is from RNAcentral.
ACGUAGGGUGCAAGCGUUAAUCGGAAUUACUGGGCGUAAAGCGUGCGCAGGCGGUUUUGUAAGACAGUUGUGAAAUCCCCGGGCUCAACCUGGGAACUGCCAUUGUGACUGUAAGGCUAGAGUACGGCAGAGGGGGAUGGAAUUCCGCGUGUAGCAGUGAAAUGCGUAGAUAUGCGGAGGAACACCGAUGGCGAAGGCAACCCCCUGGGCCUGUACUGACGCUCAUGUGCGAAAGCGAGGGGAGCAAACGG